Molecule: long non-coding RNA, 322 nt
Filed under: Brassica rapa (field mustard)
Lineage: Eukaryota; Viridiplantae; Streptophyta; Magnoliopsida; Brassicales; Brassicaceae
Description: long non-coding RNA (BRAP_LNC005752)
Source: RNAcentral
CAACUUGAUCUUUCAUCUUCCUUAGUCUCCCCUCCUCUUGAAUUAGCAUAGCCUUUAAUUCCUUAAAGUUCCAUUUAUCCUUAAUGGUGUUGUAAUUCACCUGGAACUGGCUAAAUUCAAGAGGUAGAGAGUUCAUGAUGAAUUGGACCAAGAAUUGCUCAUGUACCUCCAUUCCCAAGGUCGUUAACUUUGCUGCCAGAUUAGACAUGUGCGUCAAAUGAUCAUGGAUUGGCUGAGACCAGUCAAACUUCUUUGUAGUUAGCUCAUUCAUGAGACUUCCUACAAUCGACUUGUCAGCCAAUUCCGAUUGUGAACACUCCUU